RNAcentral lists this ribosomal RNA (481 nucleotides) under uncultured bacterium. Its description in RNAcentral is "bacterial SSU rRNA". It matches the Rfam family "Bacterial small subunit ribosomal RNA", at positions 30 to 509 of the family's 1533-position model. The record is from RNAcentral.
AUUGAACGCUGGCGGCAUGCCUUACACAUGCAAGUCGAACGGUAACAGGUCUUCGGAUGCUGACGAGUGGCGAACGGGUGAGUAAUAUAUCGGAACGUGCCCAGUCGUGGGGGAUAACGCAGCGAAAGCUGUGCUAAUACCGCAUACGAUCUAUGGAUGAAAGCGGGGGAUCGCAAGACCUCGCGCGAUUGGAGCGGCCGAUAUCAGAUUAGGUAGUUGGUGGGGUAAAGGCCCGACCAAGCCAACGAUCUGUAGCUGGUCUGAGAGGACGACCAGCCACACUGGAACUGAGACACGGUCCAGACUCCUACGGGAGGCAGCAGUGGGGAAUUUUGGACAAUGGGCGCAAGCCUGAUCCAGCAAUGCCGCGUGCAGGAUGAAGGCCUUCGGGUUGUAAACUGCUUUGUACGGAACGAAAGGCUACUGGUUAUACUGGGCGUCAUGACGUACCGUAAGAAUAAGCACCGGCUAACUACGUGCC